GAAGUUCAAUAUCAAAAACAUUGUCCUCUUCUCCUCUCCCUCAUCAAUGUAAGACUACCCGCUGAACUUAAGCAUAUCAAUAAGCGGAGGAAAAGAAACCAACAGGGAUUGCCUCAGUAACGGCGAGUGAAGCGGCAAAAGCUCAAAUUUGAAACCUUUCAGGAUUGUAAUUUGAAGAUGGCAUCAAAAAAAGGCUGAAAACUUAUGUUCCUUGGAACAGGACGUCACAGAGGGUGAGAAUCCCGUGCAGUUCAACGCCCUACCUUUCUUGCCAUCAAAGAGUCGAGUUGUUUGGGAAUGCAGCUCAAAGUGGGUGGUAAAUUCCAUCUAAAGCUAAAUACUGGCGAGAGACCGAUAGCGAACAAGUACCGUGAGGGAAAGAUGAAAAGCACUUUGAAAAGAGAGUGAAACAGUACGUGAAAUUGUUGAAAGGGAAGGGCAUGAAGAUAGAUUGUGAGGGUCGUGGGGAGUGGAGAAAAAAUCACGUGGGAACGUGGCCUUCGGGUGUUAUAUCCCACCACAUUUCUCCCACCCCCCACGAGGACCGCUUU
Molecule: ribosomal RNA, 551 nt
Filed under: [Candida] mesenterica
Lineage: Eukaryota; Fungi; Ascomycota; Pichiomycetes; Serinales; Debaryomycetaceae
Description: LSU rRNA
Rfam family: Eukaryotic large subunit ribosomal RNA
Source: RNAcentral